Molecule: transfer RNA, 71 nt
Filed under: Marmota monax (woodchuck)
Lineage: Eukaryota; Metazoa; Chordata; Mammalia; Rodentia; Sciuridae
Description: tRNA.Asp
Source: RNAcentral
GGGGUUGUGGUUCAGUGGUAGAACGCUUGCCUAUCAUGUGUGAGUCAUUGAGUUCAAUCCUCAGAACUACG